AAUAUGAACAGCUAUGUUUAAUUUAUCAAAUUUGCAAGCAAUGAUGAUUCCAUUAAAAUGAAAAAAAAUCAUGUUUUAGGAUUAGUUAAAUGUGGUAGCAAAUGCUGGUACUGAUUAGAAUUCUUACAACUGCAAGUGACAGGAAACAGACUAACUUAAGCAAAAGGACUGCAUUAAGCCAGGAAAUUCCAAAAGUCCCUGUAGUAUAACAGUUUCAGGUAUGGCUGGAUUCAGGACUCCAGAAUAUAACCAGGACUCAGUUUCCUGCCAUUUCUCUUUCUUUUCCGCAGGGUUGGUGUCAGUGGCAGGUUUCACAUGCUGGCAAGCUGGAGCCAGCAGCUCCAGCUCCAGCUCUAGCACCCCUGGAGUUUUGAGUCCAGUGAAAAAAACGAUGAGAGGCUUUGUCCCAGAUAUUUUAGCCUGAGUCUCAAUGCCUCUCAUUGGCUCCAACAGAUCACAUGCCCAGCCCUGAGCCAAUCAACAUGGCCACAUCCGGGUCAGUUACUACUGCCUCCGCCCCAUGCUGUGGAGCCCGGCUGGAAGCCCGGGGGUUGUUGGGUCUUCACCCGGGAAAUGGGGAGAGAGACUGCGGGGCAGCUGGCACCACAUACGUGCCUUACAGAUAAGAGUUAUAUAGUAACUCAGAGCUCAGUAACAUCAGCAUUUUGGAAGUAGGAUAGGAAGAAAGUCUCAUCACAAGGGAGCCCUGUGGAGAGGAAUGAGCACAGAAUUUGGAGUCAGAAGAGUGGAAGGCCUGGGCUUGGGGCCUGGCUGCACCGUGCCGGCUGGAUUGUUCUGGGAAAGCUGCCCAACUCUCUGCUCCGCAGUCCCCACAUCUGUCACUAGGGAUCAUAUCUGCCUCACAGGAUCAGCUGAGAUAAGGCACGUGUGUAAAAGGCUGUACAAAUGUUAGUUACUAUAAGGUUGUCUCAAAAAAAUAAAACCCACGGCAAAGAGUAUCCCAAGGCAGGCUCAUUUUACUCCAAUUACCAUUUGGCACCGAGCAGAUCAGGGGACUUACUGCAUGACACAGCAAGUCAGUGGAAGAGCCAAGGAGUGCACUCAUCCAAGUUACUGAUUCCGAUGUCAGCAAAACCUGCUGAAACCCAUCUUCACACUGCAGUUCAGAGGGUGUCCCCAGGAAGCACCUCUCUGCAAAGCAUGUUCAACGUAGUUCCCAGUGGCCUGCCAAAUGGUCAGCAGCAAGGUGUAACUGGAUGUCGCUUCCAGGAAGCAGAGUGAAAAGAGACAAGGAGUAGGAAACUAAUGUCCAGAGUCGGCCAUUUGCCCCAGGGACCGGAGUGGAGACUGCAUUUCUAAGUGCUUCCUCUGUCCACAGCCCUCCUCCCCCAUACCUUUUAAAAACAGAUUUGCUGGCUGGGUACGGUGGCUCAUGCCUGUAAUCCCAGCACUUUGGGAGGCUGAGGCAGGUGAAUUGCCUGAGCUCAGGAGUUCGAGACCAACCUGGACAAAACCCUAUCUCUAGCAAAAAAUACAAAAAGUUAGCCGGGCCUUGUGGUGCAUACCUGUGGUUCCAGCCACUGGGAAGGCUGAAGUGGGAGGAUCACUUGAGCCUGGGAGGUGGAGGUUGGAAUGAGCUGAGAUUGCGCCACUGCACUCCAACCUGAGUGACAGAGUGAGACCCCAUCUCACAAAAACAAAACACAGAUUUGUUGGCUGGGCAUAGUGGCACAUGCCUGUAAUCCCAGCACUUUGGGAGGCCGAAGCGGAAGGAUCACUGGAGUCCGGGAGUUUGAGACCAGCCCAAGCUGUGCAGCCCAGGCAACACAGCAAGACUUUGUGUUUCUUUUACAAAAAAAAAAUUAGCCAGGUUUGGUAGUGUACACCUGUAGUCCUAGCUACUCUGGAGGCUGGGGUGGGUGGAUCUCUUGCUUCCAAGAGUUCAAGGCUGCAGUGAGCUGAUUAUACCACUGUACUGUGGCCUGGGAAACAGAGUGAGACCCUGUCUCAAAAAAAAAAAAAACACCCAAAAGACAAAACACCACAUUUGUUGAAAUAUAAUUCACAUACAAUAAAAAUACAUCGUUUUAAAAUGGACAAUUCAUGGUGAUGUGCACCCGUAGUCCCAGCUACUUGGAAGGCUGAGAUGAGAGGAUCGCUGUGAGUCAAUGAAACCUCUUUCCUUUAUAAAUUACCCAGUCUCAGGUAUUUCUUCAUAACAGAAUGAGAAUGGACUAAUACAUCCUCCCACCUCAUCCUCCUAAAGUGUUGGGAUUACAGGCGUGAGCCACCGCACCCAGCUGUUUACACUCUCUUGAUGGUGUCCUUUAAAGCACACAAGUUGGUAGGAAGCAGUAGCUCAUGCCUGUAAUCCCAGCACUUUGGGAGGCCCAGGUGGGAGGAUUGCUUGAGGCCAGAUUGGGCAACAUAGCAAGACCUCCAUCUCUACAAAAUUUUAAAAAUUAGCUGGGUGUGGUGGUGCAUGCCUGUAGUCCCAGGUACUCAGGAAGUCAAGGCUGAAGGAUCACUGCAGCCUUGAGUCCGGCAGGUUGAAACUGCAGUGAGUUGUGAUCGCACCACUGCACCCUAGUCUGACCAAAAGAAUGAGACCCUGUCUCAGAAAAAAAAAAAAGAAAAAAAGGGGAAAAAACCCAUAAAAUUUUAAAAUCAUUAUUAAGUCUAAUUUAUCUAUUAUUUUUUCUACUCUUGCUUGUGCUUUUGGUGUCAAUCUAAGAAGUCUUUGCCUUACCCAAGGUUUACUGCUGCACUUUCUUCUAAGAGUUUUAUAGUUUUCGUUCUUACAAUUAGGUCUGUGAUCCAUUUUGAGAUAUUUUUAUUUAUUUACUUUUUUUGAGAUGGAGUUUUGCUCUUGUUGCCUAGGCUGGAGUGCAAUGGCGCGAUCUCAGCUUACUGCAACUUCUGCCUCCCAGGUUCAAGUGAUUCUCCUGUCUCAGCCUCCCGAGUAGCCUGGAAUUACAUGCACAUGCCACCACGCCUGGCUAAUUUUGCAUUUUUAAUAGAGAUGGAAUUUCACCAUGUUGGCCAGACUGGUCUCAAACUCCUGACCUCACAUGAUCCGCCUGCCUUGGCCUCCCAAAGUGCUGGGAUUACAAGUAUGAGCCACCAUGUCUGGCCAAGUUAAUGUUUGUUUAUC
RNAcentral lists this long non-coding RNA (3115 nucleotides) under Homo sapiens (human). RNAcentral's name for it is "HSALNT0278088". Lineage: Eukaryota; Metazoa; Chordata; Mammalia; Primates; Hominidae. The record is from RNAcentral.